RNAcentral lists this ribosomal RNA (253 nucleotides) under uncultured bacterium. Its description in RNAcentral is "partial 16S ribosomal RNA". It matches the Rfam family "Bacterial small subunit ribosomal RNA", at positions 524 to 776 of the family's 1533-position model. The record is from RNAcentral.
UACGGAGGGUGCGAACGUUAAUCGGAAUCACUGGGCGUAAAGCGCGCGUAGGCGGUCUGUUAAGUGGGAUGUGAAAUCCCCGGGCUUAACCUGGGAAUUGCAUUUCAAACUGGCCGACUAGAGUACGGUAGAGGGAGGUAGAAUUUCCUGUGUAGCGGUGAAAUGCGUAGAUAUAGGAAGGAAUACCAGUGGCGAAGGCGGCCUCCUGGAUCGAUACUGACGCUGAGGCGCGAAGGCGUGGGGAGCGAACGGG